GCGCCCGUAGCUCAGCUAGGCAGAGCAACACCCUUUUAAGGUGAUGGUCGGGGGUUCGAUUCCCUCCGGGCGUA
Molecule: transfer RNA, 74 nt
Filed under: Patescibacteria group bacterium
Lineage: Bacteria
Description: tRNA-Lys
Rfam family: tRNA
About the family: Transfer RNA (tRNA) molecules are approximately 80 nucleotides in length. Their secondary structure includes four short double-helical elements and three loops (D, anti-codon, and T loops).
Source: RNAcentral